CGUAUUUAAACAUACGGCUUUCUUA
Molecule: transfer RNA, 25 nt
Filed under: Myodes glareolus (Bank vole)
Lineage: Eukaryota; Metazoa; Chordata; Mammalia; Rodentia; Cricetidae
Description: partial tRNA-Ser
Source: RNAcentral